RNAcentral lists this ribosomal RNA (274 nucleotides) under uncultured bacterium. RNAcentral describes it as "partial 16S ribosomal RNA". It matches the Rfam family "Bacterial small subunit ribosomal RNA", at positions 523 to 796 of the family's 1533-position model. The record is from RNAcentral.
AUACGGAGGGUGCAAGCGUUAUCCGGAAUCAUUGGGUUUAAAGGGUCCGUAGGCGGGAAUCUAAGUCAGUGGUGAAAUCUUGCAGCUCAACUGUAAAAUUGCCAUUGAUACUGGAUUUCUUGAAUUAGUGUGAAGUGGUUAGAAUGUGUAGUGUAGCGGUGAAAUGCAUAGAUAUUACACAGAAUACCAAUUGCGAAGGCAGAUCACUAACACUAUAUUGACGCUGAGGGACGAAAGCGUGGGGAGCGAACAGGAUUAGAAACCCCAGUAGUCC